GUGUAUGUUUUGUGUUUGUGUUCAGAUUAGCAUCGCGUGUAAAAGAGAAAGACGCCGAUAAAACCGUCCCCUCAAGGGACCGCUAUCGACCCAACAGUCCACAGGUGUUUAAAAGGCGGUCAUGCAGUGAUGAUCCUUCCGCAGGUUCACCUACGGAAA
RNAcentral lists this unclassified non-coding RNA (159 nucleotides) under uncultured fungus. Its description in RNAcentral is "sequence contains ITS1". Lineage: Eukaryota; Fungi. The record is from RNAcentral.